GGAGGAUUUACCUUUCAGAUUGAAACCAAUGCACAACACACAUGGUGUACAGAUACACUGGAUUUGUUACUCAACUUUGUUUGGUCACAGUUAAUGGCAGAUGGGAGCAUUGCGCUGCAUUACAUUGCAAUUUAAUAAUGCGUGGAUGUGAAAUGUUGCAAAAGCAAAGUUGCUCUAUUUCACAGAUCUAGCGCUCUUCAGGUGCCCUCUACUAUGUGUGUGCAGAUGUUCAAAGGAGUUUUAGAUUCAGCUGUAACAGGGUGAACAGAACAGCAGCUUGCAAGAAUGAACAAAGGUUCACCAGAGAACUUGUUAGGUAUAGCAACCUUUGGUUCUGGAGGAUGUGGAGCAGCAGCAGGAGGAGGAGAAGCUGACCCAGAGGCAGAUACAGAAGGCUGAAGUGCUCUUGGACUUGAGUAUACCCCCUUGCUGUUCUCUCACUGCUCAUACAUUUUUGUGGAGAUCCACACAUUUCUUAUUGCAUCAUCUACACUUUCAAAUAAAAUGGGUAUUUGUAGCAAAAUUACUAAAACAUGUCGAAAUCACGUAAAAGUCAACGGCAGAAGUCCCUUCGUGACCUUUAAGAGUUUCGGGCUGGUUUUUAUUCGACAAUCCAAAAAGGACGCUUAGGUAAAACUAGGAAUAGCUUUACAUUUGUAAAGAUGAAAAUGUGCUGACCACAAGGAAAAAAAGAAGCGUAAAAUUAUGGAAGUUCCAAUGCAAUAUUCAGUUAUCUGUUAUGUCUCAUGGUAAAAUAUAUAUGCUGAAUAGGUCUAUAUCUGAGAGCAUCCCUAAUGCAUAUGGGAAAUUCACACUGUGGUAAAUAUGUAAAGCUGUAUUUGUAAAAUAGGCCAAAUGCCUUCCUGGGAAUAAAAAUAAUUUGUCACUUGAAAGUUAAUGUAAUACUGUAACAUACUGGUGCCAUCUACCUGCUCUGCAAUAACAAAAUAUAAGUGUUUCAAAUUGAGAAAGCUUUAGCAAAUAUACCAUAUCAUGCAAUGCCUAAGGUAUUGGCCAAGCUUCCUACAGUGAUAUUUAUUCAUCUGGAACAAAUAAAGUCCCACUAAGUAACUGUUAUUGUCUGAAAAUUAUUUUCCUUUUUUCCUCUUAGUAAAAAUGACCUGACAUCCUGGGCUUAUUCUAAAGACAAUCUAAAAUGUUAUUGGUGUGACAGGGCUCUACUAGAAUUU
Molecule: long non-coding RNA, 1190 nt
Organism: Xenopus laevis (African clawed frog)
Lineage: Eukaryota; Metazoa; Chordata; Amphibia; Anura; Pipidae
Exons: 5
Source: RefSeq, a predicted model, not a curated record